Molecule: ribosomal RNA, 251 nt
Filed under: uncultured prokaryote
Description: partial 16S rRNA
Rfam family: Bacterial small subunit ribosomal RNA
Source: RNAcentral
ACAGAGGUCCCAAGCGUUGUUCGGAUUCACUGGGCGUAAAGGGUGCGUAGGCGGUCGGGUAAGUCUGACGUGAAAUCCUGGAGCUUAACUCCGGAACUGCGUCGGAAACUAUUCGGCUAGAGGGUUGGAAGGGGGACUGGAAUUCUCGGUGUAGCGGUGAAAUGCGUAGAUAUCAAGAGGAACACCCGUGGCGAAGGCGAGUUACUGGACAGUAACUGACGCUGAGGCGCGAAAGCUAGGGGAGCAAACAG